GGGCCUGUAGUAAAGUGGUAUUACGCGGCAUUCGCAUUGCCGAGGCGCGGGUCCGAUUCCCGCCAGGUCCACCA
This 74-nucleotide transfer RNA is filed under the name Candidatus Adlerbacteria bacterium RIFCSPHIGHO2_02_FULL_52_17. RNAcentral's name for it is "tRNA-Ala". It matches the Rfam family "tRNA". From Rfam's summary of the family: Transfer RNA (tRNA) molecules are approximately 80 nucleotides in length. Their secondary structure includes four short double-helical elements and three loops (D, anti-codon, and T loops). Lineage: Bacteria; Candidatus Adleribacteriota. The record is from RNAcentral. RNAcentral also lists the same sequence under 1 other name.